GCAGGAUGUCAAUAGAAGUCUUAGCACUGCAAAGCUUCGGCACCUAUCUAUCUCAAACAAGGCACUAGGGCAUGACACUUUGCAAAAACAAGCCUUGCUUAGAACAUUAAUGUUAUUCGGAAGCAGCACCAUUGUUGAGCUAAAGGAUCUGUUGAACAACUUUUCUUGCCUAAGAGUACUACAUCUAGUAGAUGUAGAUCUAGUUGAGCUGCCAGACUCCAUAUGCCACCUCAAACAUUUAAGAGACUUAAGUAUUUAUAACGCAAGCAUAUCCACAAUUCCUCAAGGCAUAGGAGAUCUAAAAUUUCUACAAUCUAUUGACCUUGAUGGGUGUGCAAAUAUUCAUCAACUUCCUAACAGCAUCCUAAAGCUGCGGAAGCUAAGGUCACUCAACUUGAGCGACACGGCAAUCACUUCAAUUCCUCGUGGCUUGGGAAAACUAGAAGAUUUGGUCCACAUAAGCGGGUUUCCAACACAUUAUUCAGAUGAGAGCACAUGUGGCUGGUGCAGCUUAGAAGAACUCAGACCUCUGUCGAAGCUCCAAAGCCUUGAAAUAAGUUGUCUGGAGAAAGCACCUUCCGGUUCUAUGGCUGCUAAAGCAAACCUUAGCAGUAAACAUCACCUGACACGGUUACAUUUGGUAUUUACCAGCAGGCUAGGAGACAACGGGAAGGUCAAAGGCAACAUUAGCGAGGAGGAACACAGGAGAACAGAGGAGGUGCUGGAUAAUCUGUGUCCUCCAACUUGCAUGGAAGAACUUGAUAUCAAAGGCUACUUUGCACGUGGGCUACCGCAGUGGAUGAGAACCAUGUCAGCCUUUGGGAGCUUAAGGCGGUUGCAGCUAGAUGACGACGCAUGCUGCACGCAUCUACCUAAUGGAUUGGGGCAGCUCCCCUUUCUUGAUUAUUUUUGGUUCAAUCGUGCUCCGUCUGUCCGGUGCGUUGGGCACGAUUUCCUCUUCCCCUCCUUGGGUGGUCAAGCUGAUGGCAAAGUAACACGGAACAAUAACAGGCAGCCUCAUCAUACUUUGCGAGGUGCUGGUGUUGCUUUUCCCAAGUUGAGAAAAGUGGGUUUUGUAGGCAUGCUGGGAUGGACGAAUUGGGAGUGGGAGCAGCACGUCCCAGCGAUGCCUGCACUAGAGGAGCUUACAAUCAUAAACUGCAAACUGCAACACCUUCCUGCAGGGCUUGCACAACAUGCAUGCCGGUUGAGAGAGUUGCGCCUGACACAUGUCCAGCACUUGGUCUCUGUUGAGAACUUCCCUUCACUAGUCAAGCUUUGGUCAUAUGACAACCCAAGGCUGGAGAGGAUCAGCAACAACCCGAGCUUGCAAUGGAUUGACAUUAGAAAUUGCCCAGCACUAGAACAAUUGGACGGUUUGCCAUCCCUCCGAAGCCUCGAGUGGAGGGAUUUGAGUGCUGAAGCACUCCCAGAAUACUUGCGAGAGGCAAAGCUAAAGAAAUUGCGUGUAGAUUGCAGCCGAAGAUUGCUCAAACUGAUAGCACUACAAGAUGAAUCCUCCGAAUGGGGAAAGAUCCAGCAUGUCCAGCAACUAGAGGCGUAUGGACACAAGAUAGAAGGAGAAGCGGAGGAAGCCGACCAAUCGCACGAAGAUGAGGAUGCCGAGUGGUACAUCUACUGUACCAAGGAGCCGUAUUCAUUCGACGCGUACCUGGGCAAGUCCACGGGUGAGUUCAUCUUCGACCUACUCGGUGGUUUUAUAACUGUAUGUGUGUGUACACUCAUGUAAAAAUGGAUUUCUAACUGUAUAUUCUCCUGCGCACAGGAUGAAGAUGAAGCAGAAGUAGACGAGGUGAACGAAGAGCAGAGUCCAGGAAUAGAAUAUAGUAAGAAUGCAAGGAACAGAGGAAGCUCUCAGGCUGUUACGACAGGACGAGCAUUCGAAUCCAUCCACCAAAUACUAGGUAUGAAUUGCCCAAAUACUGAUGGUCUUGUAGUUGUACACGCCAAAUUGGCUGUGACUAUUCUAACUGGAAAGCAUUGUCGUGUUAACGCAGGAGAAAGAAACCCAAGAAGGAGAAGAACACAUCGCAAUUGGGUGGUGGCAAUGUGGCAUACUGUCCCUCAAAUUCGUAAGUUGUAUAUGUUUGUGUGCGAAAAAUAUAAUACAGCAGUAAGGCGCGAGCGUCUCUCUAACCAGUUGUUGUGACGCUCAGGAAUGGAGCGCCAGCACGGGCGGCCUUGGACUCGUUGGAGCGAAUACGCGUCGGGGACGAGCGAUGGGCUGAGAGGUGAAGCACUGAACGUGCGCGCGAAGGGCAGCAGGGAAGGGAUUUGCACAUUUAGCUCCCAGGAUUUGCACUUCUUGUUGGCGUAUUUGUAGGCAGGUCUGCACUCCAUCUCUUCUUUUCGGUUGGUCUCUGCUAGCUCGUCAGACUUUCUACAGUGUUUUUGAAUGUUCGAUAGCAAAUGAGUGUAGGAAUUUGCAGACGUGCUCUAUGAUGCCGAGAUAACAAUUGCAUCCCCCCCUCAUGGAUCCUCUGGAAAGCUGAAGCUACUCUGCAAGACUGCAACGAUUGCAGCAACACGGACGUGCCUACUAAAAACAUGGUGCAAUAAAACUGCGAAAUGCUAAACAAGGUCAAGCCGGCAGCCAGGUAAACAACAUUCCAGGCAGCAGGUAUAUUCUGAGCCGUGUGAGAAUUAUCUGUCUGCAAUAGCUUUUUCAUGGGUAGCUAUCACUCGCAUGUGGAUCGUGUCUCUGGCUGAUCCGUUCAGCGUGGACCGGAGCCAACAACGGGGAUAAGAAGUCCCAACUAGUAGUAGUUGGCUGCCAAUGCGGUGGCCAAAAUUUGACCAAGCCAAGGCUAGUAAACAGCAAAUUUGGUACUGUAGGCGCGCUAUUAUAUAGCGGAAGCAACCAAAGUUAUAUAAAUAUUAAUUAUGGAUAAUACAAAGUUAUAUAAAUAUUAAUUAUGGAUAAUAAAGAGGGAGAACUAAUCAGGACGCUGACGAUGCUUCUAGUUGAUCCAUCAUGCUCCAAAAUCUUUCUGCAAGUCAGGAGCUGCAGGAUAUAAGUGCAGAACUGCCUGCCGAUUUCAAAAAAUUAAAAAAAAUUAAAGAAAAAAGAACUGACUGCCGAUGGCCACUCAAGGUAGUAAAAACUAUAGGAAUGCUAUUAGUAGUUCCAGUGUUCCACUGGUAGCUGCCAUUUGCGCUUUGCUGAUCCGUUAGGUGCGGAGCCAGCGACGAAGAGAAGAGUUGAAGCGUCUCUCUGGGGGUUAGUUGAGGCGUCUCUCUUUUGCACCUCAUCAAUAGAGACAAAUAAUUUGAGUUGCAUAUUUUUUGACUACUGACUGGACACCCAAUCGAGGUCCACAAAAAUAUGGAGUAGCGUACUCUUCUGGCACUCCUAUGCGUUGAACUUCUUCGCCUCGCCAUCUCAUCUGCCCAUCCGUGAUUUUCCAUCGACCGGCCAGGCCUUCCUUCUGUAUAAAGCGUCUCCUAAAUCACCGCAGAGUGUACACCCCCACAUAUCUGAAACCUAGUCAUCUUCCUUUUGCUCUCUGCUUUGCUACCCUGUUCCCCGACCAUGGCAGAGCUGCUGGACGAGUUCGCGUCCAAGCUUGUGGGCAUCCUGGCAGGCAUGGUGAAGGAGGAGGUGGAGAUGCUCCUCGGCGUGCCGGGUGAGGUCACCAAGCUCGAGACCACGCUCCGUGACCUGAGCGACAUCUUGGGUGAUGCGGAGAGGAAGCGCAUCCGUGACAAGGCUACGGAGGGUUGGGUGAGGGAGCUCAAGGACGUCAUGUACGACGCCGAUGACGUCCUUGACCUCUGCCAGCUCAUGGAGGGCGGAGAAGAUCCUCCCGCACCAACAUCUGCUCCAAAAACCACCUCAAGGUGCUGGGACAUCCCCAAGAUGUUCUUUUGCUUCCGCAACCCUGUUGUGGCACAUGAGAUUGGAACGAAGAUCCAAGCGAUCAACCAGCGACUGGAAGACCUGGCAACGAGGAGCUCCCGUUUCGGAUUCAUCACCCAAGCCAUCCAUUCCUCAGCUGAUUCAAUCAACAAAGCUUCCAAUUCUUUGUCGACCGACGAGACUGGAUCGGUUUUUAUCCGGUCUGAUGUUGUCGGCGAGAAGGUUGAGGAUGACACGAAGAAAAUUGUAGAUCUACUCAUCAAGAAGAUGGAUGCUCCCGUAGGAUCAAGGGCCAAUAAUGAUGUGGUUGUUGCUGUUGCUAUCACAGGCACAGGUGGGAUAGGCAAAACCACUCUUGCUCAGAUGGUCUUCGGUGAUAGUAGGGUGGAGGAAAAAUUCGAGGAAAGGAUCUGGUUGAGCGUUAACCGUGAGUUCAAUGAGAUCAACGUCCUACAAAGUCUUAUAACUUCUUUUGGUGCCAAACAUGAAGGCUGUGCGGGAAACAAGGACCUACUUCAGCGUGCCCUGAAGGAUACGAUCCGGCAAAAGAAGAAGUUUUUGUUGGUGAUGGAUGAUGUGUGGAGGGAAAAUGUGUGGUAUAAGCUGCUUAGAGAGCCGCUCAAUCAUGGUGCUUCUGGCAGUCGAGUCUUGGUGACCACAAGAAAUGAUGGAGUUGCUCAUGGGAUGAAAGCUCAACAUCUCCAUCCAGUUCACAAGCUAACAACGGAAGAUGCUUGGAUUUUGCUAAAGAACCAGGUCAGUAAUAACUUUUAUUUAUUACAGUAAUUAUUUAUGCAGUAAUUUGAAUUUACUGUAACAACUUUUAUCUCUUCUUAAUUACUUUCUCUCCCUUGGAGGAAUGCACGAUAGCCCACUGCUCGUUAUUUCUCUUGUCGCUCUUGUCCGAUCUGAUUACGCAAAGGACCAUGUAAUUUCACUACGAGCCUUUUAUCAUACUUUCAUAAGCUCUUGGCUUAGCAAAACUUGUCUCAUGGUUAUAUUUAGUUGAACAUAUCCUAUUGACGUUGAGGGAAGUUUUGUUUAGUGCAAGGAAUCGGAUACCGUAGCCUAAGAGGGGGAGAGGGUGAAUUAGGUAACUUAAAACCUUAAUCUAUAGCUUCCGCUACUUUUGCAUCAAAUUUAAUUAGAUCAUGUAUCAAGAUGUGUAACUAUGGUUGAUCUAGUGUGAAAUCCUCAUCCUAAAAUUAGUUUUGCAACCUAGAGGCAAUCCUAACAAGAUACUACACUAAGAAUGUAAAGGCACACAAGUUGCAAGUAUGAAAUGUGGAAAUGAAAAGGAGGGGAUGAGGGGAAGCAAACUCUUGACACGAUGAUUUAUCCCGUUGUAUCGGUAGGCACUAAACCACCGCUAGUCGACAUUGUUGAAGCACUCACACAAGAGUAUUGCUUUCCGGUCACCAAGUCUCUCUCGGGAUACUCCUUGCUUUGCCACGAAGGCUUGGCCGCUAAGGCUCACGUCAAAUUCUCAGGUCACCUUGAUACCAUCUCCACAAAGGAGCUUCUCCACGAAGGAAGGGGGUCUCCACGUUCCCUGCAUAUUGUCGUCGACGCCGAUCCAUGCCAAACCGGAGGGUCGAAGACUUACCGGCGAACUACCAAGGCUCCAAGAUAGCACACCUUGUACAGCUGUGGUUCACUCCUAGAACCGAUCACAAGGCAGGCACACCUUGCACUCUCUCUUCUCUAGGCCUAUCCUAGCACUAAAUAUUCUUAUAAGCUUGUGCUAAGCCUUUGAUUAAUCACUUAUGCACUUUUGGUGGCUUGGAUGUGUUCUUGAUGAGUCUUGAUCUCCAAUGGACUUCUGCAUACUCCAGCUUCAUCCAGCAACUCCAAUGGGUGAGUGGAGGGGGUAUAAAUAGCCCAAGAACUCAAAGAGCCGUUGCUCCAACGGCUAGUUAAAGUAUACCAUCGGAUGUUCCGAUGGUAUCAUUCGGGGUAGCAUUCGAACAUCUGGUUCUACCAGCCCUUGCCUCCCCGCGCUUAGAUUCUACUCAAGUUCCUCACCGACGCAAUCCAUCGAUUGAUCAAGUGGUCCCUCUAGCACCCAUCGGAUCAUCCGGUGCAGUAGCUUCCUAUGCCAAAACGUCUCUGUUAGUUUCUAAAAUAAAUAUGCUUCAUCCGAUGCCCCCACGACACAUAGCGUCGGAUCAUCCGGUGCCUCCUUCUUUCUUCUCUUUGCUCCGGCGAUUCAUCCGAUGGAUACAAAACUUAGGCCAUCGAAUCAUCCGAUGGUCCUACUUUGACUUGGUCUCCACAUGGCGUACCAAAAGCUCCGAUGCUUGCACCGAUGCUUUUUCAACUGGCCAUCGAAACAUCCGAUGGUCUCAAAAACCUGCUUCACGCUUGGCACCGACUGAUUCGGUGGGCACCUUCUUCUUGUCACCAGAUGAAUCGGUGACUAUAAUGAUUCCUGUUUUUCUUUGAUUCUUUGCUUAUCUUUGGUUGUGGUUGCUUCCUCAGGACCUAUAAUACCUUCAAGAUAUGUUUUCAAUGCUUUGUUAGUCCUGAUGACCGUGUUGUCACAUUAAUCACCAAAAUCACAAACAAAUAGCCUAUUCGGGGCCAUGUUUGCUACAUUUAGGCUAUUCCCAAUGGGGAUUUCAUAAGAGUUUCAUUUAAUGAUGCGACACACCAACAAUUUUGAUGAUAUGGCAUGCUAAUAAUCAUGAAGAGAGAGAGGGAAUGAGUUUAAUCCUGAUUAAACUAUGUAUACAUUGUUUCCAAGACUAUGAAACCUGAUGAAACUAGCAUUGGGGAUUAGAGAGUUUCAUUUCAUCUCAUAACAUCCAAUCACAUACCUCGCAAUUAAACGUUAUGUCCAGCCUAUGAAAUCGCGAAAUGAAACUCUCCAUUGGGAGAUCUUGUGUCAUACAUCCACUCAAACAUCUUUCGAUGACGUACCACUCUUGAAAAUUGUAAUUGAAAUUUCCCACUGGGAAUAGCCAUGGUUGCUCUAGAGUCUAGACUCUAUUUAAGUCACUUCAACUUUUUCCCUACACACAACCCCUGCAACAGUUAUGAUACAACAUAAAAUCCAUUGGGAGCUUUUCGAUUCUAGCACCAUUUCCUCUCUCAAACUUGCUGCAUUUUUUUUCCAAUACUAGGUAGUUUCGAAUGAGAGUGAUGAAGCCGAUGUCGAUGAAUUGAAGAGUAUCGGGAUGGAAAUUGUUGAAAGAUGUGACUGCUUGCCGUUAGCAGUUAAGGUCCUUGGAGGACUCUUGCGUCACAAAAGGAGAACAAGGGAUGCCUGGACGGAUGUUAGUAGCCACGAUAUUUGGUCGACAAUAGGAAGCGAUGAAGAUAUUAAUAAAGCGGUCUAUUUGAGUUAUGAAGAUUUGCCUUCACACUUGAAGCAAUGUUUUGUGUAUUGUUCGCUAAUCCCUAAAGAUCACUUGAUAUCGAGUGGAGUAAUAGUCAAGCUUUGGAUUGCAGCAGGUCAUGUACACAACAAGAUGAGCUGUAAGGUACCAGAAAAGUUGGGGAAAGAAUACUACAACGAAUUGGUUUCAAGAAAUCUUCUAGAACCAGACAAAAGUUACUAUAGUACAGUAGUAUGCAGGAUGCACGAUGUUGUCCGUUCCUUCGCUCAGUAUAUAAUUAAAGAUGAAGGGAUACUUAUUAGUGAUGGGCAGGAUGUUAAUAGAACUCUUAGCACUGCAAAGCUUCGGCACCUAUCUAUCUCAAACACGACAGUAGGGCAUGACACUUUGCAAAAACAAGCCUUGCUUAGAACAUUAAUUUUAUUCGGAAGCAGUACCACUGUUGAGCUAAAGGAUCUGUUGAACAACCUUUCUUGCCUGAGAGUACUACAUCUAGUAAAGGUAGAUUUAGUCGAGCUGCCAGACUCCAUAUGCCACCUCAAACAUUUAAGAUACUUGUGUAUUUGUAACGCAAGCAUAUCCAGAAUUCCUCAAGGCAUAGGAGAUCUAAAAUUUCUACAAUCUAUUGACCUUGAUGGGUGUGCAAAUAUUCAUCAACUUCCUAACAGCAUCCUAAAGCUGCGGAAGCUAAGGUCACUCAACUUGAGCGACACGGCAAUCACUUCAAUUCCUCGUGGCUUGGGAAAACUAGAAGAUUUGGUCACCAUAAGGGGGUUUCCAACACAUUAUUCAGAUGAGAGCACAGGUGGCUGGUGCAGCAUAGAAGAACUCAGACCUCUGUCGAAGCUCCAAAGCCUUGAAAUAAUAUGUCUGGAGAAGGCACCUUCCGGUUCUAUGGCUGCUAAAGCAAACCUUAGCAGUAAACAUCACCUGACAUGGCUAGAUUUGGUAUUUACCAGCAGGCUAGGAGACAACGGGGUGGUCGAAGGCAACAUUAGCGAGGAGGAACACAGGAGAACAGAGGAGGUGCUGGAUAAUCUGUGUCCUCCAACUUGCAUGGAAGAACUUGAUAUAAAAGGCUACUUUGCACGUGGGCUACCGCAGUGGAUGAGAACCAUGUCAGCCUUUGGGAGCUUAAGGCGGUUGGUGCUACAUGACUACGCAUGCUGCCCGCAUCUACCUAAUGGAUUGGGGCAGCUCCCCUUUCUUGAUUAUUUUUGGGUCAAACGUGCUCCGUCUGUCCGGUGCGUUGGGCACGAUUUCCUCUUCCCCUCCUUGGGUGGUCAAGCUGAUGGCAAAGUAACACGGAACAAUAACAGGCAGCCUCAUCAUACUUCGCGUGGUGCUGGUGUUGCUUUUCCCAAGCUGUCAGAAGUGGGUUUUGUAGGCAUGCUGGGAUGGACGAAUUGGGAGUGGGAGCAGCACGUCCCAGCGAUGCCUACACUAGAGGAGCUUACAAUCAGAAACUGCAAACUGCAACACCUUCCUGCAGGGCUUGCAUACCAUGCAUGCCGGUUGAGAGAGUUGGACCUGAGAAAUAUCCAGCUCUUGGUCUGUGUGGAGAACUUCCCUUCACUAGUCAAGCUUUGGUCAUAUGACAACCCAAGGCUGGAGAGGAUCAGCAACAACCCAAGCUUGCAAUGGAUUGACAUUAGCAAUUGCCGAGCACUAGAGGAAUUGGACGGUUUGCCAUCCCUCCUAAGCCUUGAGUGGUGGAAUUUGAGUGCUGAAGCACUCCCAGAAUACUUGCGAGAGGCAAAGCUAAAGAAAUUGCGUGUAGAUUGCAGCCGAAGAUUGCUCAAACUGAUAGCACUACAAGAUGAAUCCUCCGAAUGGGGAAAGAUCCAGCAUGUCCAGCAACUAAAGGUGUAUGGAUGCAAGAUAGAAGGAGAAGCGGAGGAAGCCGACCAAUCGCACGAAGAUGAGGAUGCCGAGUGGUACAUCUACUGUACCAAGGAGCCGUAUUCAUUCGACGCAUACCUGGGCAAGUCCACGGGUGAGUUCAUCUUCGACCUACUCGGUGGUUUUAUAACUGUAUGUGUGUACACUCAUGUAAAAAUGGAUUUCUAACUGUAUAUUCACCUGCGCACAGGAUGAAGAUGAAGCAGAAGUAGACGAGGUGAACGAAGAGCAGAGUCCAGGAAUAGAACAUAGUAAGAAUGCAAGGAACAGAGGAAGCUCUCAGGCUGUUACGACAGGAGGAGCAUUCGAAUCCAUCCACCAAAUACUAGGUAUGAAUUGCCCAAAUACUAAUGGUCUUGUAGUUGUACACGCCAAAUUGGCUGUGACUAUUCUAACUGGAAAGCAUUGUCGUGUUAACGCAGGAGAAGAACACAUCGCAAUUGGCAUACUGUCCCUCAAAUUCGUAAGUUGUAUAUGUUUGUGUGCGAAAAAUAUAAUACAUCAGUAAGGCGCGAGCGUCUCUCUAACCAGUUGUUGUGACGCUCAGGAAGGGAGCGCCAGCACGGGCGGCCUUGGACUCGUUGGAGCGAAUACGCGUCGGGGACGAGCGAUGGGCUGAGAGCUGAAGCACUGAACGUGCGCGCGAAGGGCAGCAGGGAAGGGAUUUGCACAUUUAGCUCCCAGGAUUUGCACUUCUUGUUGGCGUAUUUGUAGGCAGGUCUGCACUCCAUCUCUUCUUUUUGGUUGGUCUGUGCUAGCUCGUCAGACUUUCUACAGUGUUUUUGAAUGUUCGAUAACAAAUGAGUGUAGGAAUUUGCAGACGUGCUCUAUGAUGCCGAGAUAACAAUUGCAUCCCCCCCUCAUGGAUCCUCUGGAAAGCUGAAGCUACUCUGCAAGACUGCAACGAUUGCAGCAACACGGACGUGCCUACUAAAAACAUGGUGCAAUAAAACUGCGAAAUGCUAAACAAGGUCAAGCCGGCAGCCAGGUGAGCAACAUUCCAGGCAGCAGGCAUAUUCUGAGCCGUUCAGCGUGGACCGGAGCCAACAACGGGGAUAAGAAGUCCCAACUAGUAGUAGUUGGCAGCCAAUGCGGUGGCCAAAAUUUGACCAAGCCAAGGCUAGUAAACAGCAAAUUUUGUAGCAAACCAAAAUUAAAAUGCGACGUAACCAAAGCGCUGGCGUAACCAUGUCGACAUUAGACCUGAUUUGUUAAUACGUGCUGAGAUGGCGAGGCAUAUCUUGUAACCAGCGACGAAGAGAAGAGUUCAAGCUGCAUUGGAUACAUGUGCUCCUGCCUCCUGGGGGUUAGUUGAGGCGUCUCUCUUUUGCACCUCAUCAAUAGAGACAAAUAAUUUGAGUUGCAUAUUUUUUGACUACUGACUGGACACCCAAUCGAGGUCCACAAAAAUAUGGAGUAGCGUACUCUUCUGGCCCUCCUAUGCGUUGAACUUCUUCGCCUCACCAUCUCAUCUGCCCAUCCGUGAUUUUCCAUCGACCGGCCAGGCCUUCCUUCUGUAUAAAGCGUCUCCUAAAUCACCGCAGAGUGUACACCCACACAUAUCUGAAAUCUAGUCAUCUUCCUUAGUCAUCUUCCUUUUGCUCUCUGCUUUGCUACCCUGUUCCCCGACCAUGGCAGAGCUGCUGGACGAGUUCGCGUCCAAGCUUGUGGGCAUCCUGGCAGGCAUGGUGAAGGAGGAGGUGGAGAUGCUCCUCGGCGUGCCGGGUGAGGUCACCAAGCUCGAGACCACGCUCCGCGACCUGAGCCACAUCUUGGGUGAUGCGGAGAGGAAGCGCAUCCGUGACAAGGCUACGGAGGGUUGGGUGAGGGAGCUCAAGGACGUCAUGUACGACGCCGAUGACGUCCUUGACCUCUGCCAGCUCAUGGAAGGCGGAGAAGAUCCUCCCGCACCAACAUCUGCUCCGAAAACCACCUCAAGGUGCUGGGACAUCCCCAAGAUGUUUUUUUGCUUCCGCAACCCUGUUGCGGCACAUGAGAUUGGAACGAAGAUCCAAGCGAUCAACCAGCGACUGGAAGACCUGGCAAAGAGGAGCUCCCGUUUCGGAUUCAUCACCCAAGCCAUCCAUUCCUCAGCUGAUUCAAUCAACGAAGCUUGGAAUUCUUUGUCCGACGAGACUGGAUCGGUUUUUAUCCGGUCUGAUGUUGUCGGCGAGAAGAUUGAGGAUGACACGAAGAAAAUUGUUGAUCUACUCAUCAAGAAGGUGGAUGCUCCUGUAGGAUCAAGGGCCAAUAGUGAUGUGGUUGUUGCUGUUGCUAUCACAGGCACAGGUGGGAUAGGCAAAACCACUCUUGCUAAGAUGGUCUUCGGUGAUAGUAGGGUGGAGGAAAACUUCAAGGAAAGGAUCUGGUUGAGCGUUAACCGUGAGUUCAAUGAGAUCAAUGUCCUACAAAGUCUUAUAGCUUCUUUUGGUGCCAAACAUGAAGGCUGUGCGGGAAACAAGGACCUACUUCAGCGUGCCCUGAAGGAUACAAUCCGGCAAAAGAAGAAGUUUUUGUUGGUGAUGGAUGAUGUGUGGAGCGAAAAUGUGUGGUAUAAGCUGCUUAGAGAGCCGCUCAAUCAUGGUGCUUCUGGCAGUCGAGUCUUGGUGACCACAAGAAAUGAUGGAGUUGCUCAUGGGAUGAAAGCUCAACAUCUCCAUCGAGUUGACAAGCUAACAACGGAAGAUGCUUGGAUUUUGCUAAAGAACCAGGUCAGUAAUAACUUUUAUUUAUUACAGUAAUUAUUUAUGCAGUAAUUUGAAUUUACAGUAACAACUUUUAUCUCUUCUUAAUUACUUUCUCUCCCUUGGAGUAAUGCACGAUAGCCCAUUGCUCAAUAUUUCUCUUGUCGCUCUUUUCCGAUCUGAUUACGCAAAGGACCAUGUAAUUUCACUACGAGCCUUUUAUCAUACUUUCAAAGCUCUUCGCUUAGCAAAACAUGUCUCAUGGUUAUAUUUAGUUGAACAUAUCCUAUUGACGUUGAGGGAUGUUUUGUUUAGGGCAACGAAUCGGGUAUCGUAGCCUAAGAGGGGGAGGGGGUGAUUUAGGCAACUUAAAAUCUUAACCUAUGGCUUCUGCUACUUUUGCAUCAAACAUAAACAAGAUCAUGCUGUCAAGAUGUGCAAUUAUGGUUGAUCUAGUGUGAACUCUUCAUCCUAAAAUAAGUUUUGCAACCUAGAGGCAUCCUAGCAAGAUACUACACUAAGAAAGUAAAGGCACACAAGUUGUAAGUAUGAAAUGCGGAAAUGUAAAGGAGGGGAUGAGGGGAAGCAAACUCUUGACACAAGAGUAUUGCUUUCCGGUCACCAAGUCUCUCCCUGGACACUCCUUGAUUUGCCACAAAGGCUCGGCUACUAAGGCUCACGCCAAAUUCACAGGCUACCUUGAUACCAUCUCCACAAAGGAGCUUCUCCACGAAAGAAGGGGGUCUCCACGUUCCCUGCACAUUGUCGUCGACGCCGCUCCACACCAAGCCGGAGGGUCAAAGACUUACCGGCGAACCACCAAGGCUCCAAGGUUUCAGCACACCUUGUACAGCUGUGGUUCACUCCUAGAAUCGAUCACAAGGCAAGCACACCUUGCAUUCUCUCUUCUCUAGGCCUAUCCUAGCACUAAACAUUCUUCUAAGCUUGCGCUAAACCUUUGAUUAAUCACUUAUGCACUUUUGGUGGUUUGGAUGUGUUCUUGACGAGUCUUGAUCUCCAAUGGAAUUCUGCACACUCCAGCUUCAUCCAACAACUCCAAAUGGGUGAGUGGCGGGGGGUAUAAAUAGCCCAAGAACUCAAAGAGCCGUUGCUCCAACGGCUAGUUAAAGUAUACCAUCGGAUGUUCCGAUGGUAUCAUUUGGGGUAGCAUCGGAACAUCCGGUUCUACCAGCCAUUGCCUCCCCGCGCUCAGAUUCUGCUCAAGUUCCUCACUGACGUAAUCCAUCGAUUGAUCCAGUGGUCCCUCUAGCACCCAUCGGAUCAUCCGGUGCAGUAGCUUCCUAUGCCAAAACGUCUUUGUUAGUUUCUAAAAUAAAUAUGCUUCGUCCGAUGCCCCUGCGACACAUAGCGUCGGAUCAUCCAGUGCCUCCUUCUUUCUUCUCUUUGCUCCGGCGAUUCAUCCGAUGGGUACAAAACUUAGGCCAUCGGAUCAUCUGAUGGUCCUGCUUUGACUUGGUCUCCACAUGGCGAACCAAAAGCUCUGAUGCUUGCACCGACACUUUUUCAACUGGCCAUCAAAGCAUCCGAUGGUCUCAAAAAUCUUCUUCACGCUUGUCACCAACUGAUUCGGUGGGCACCUUCUUCUUGUCACCGGAUGAAUCAGUGGCUAUAACAAUUCUUGUUUUUCUUUGAUUUCUUUGAUUCUUUGCUUGUCUUUGGUUGUGGUUGCUUCCUUAGGACCUAUAAUACCUUCAAGAUAUGUUCUCAAUGCUUUGUUAGUCCUAAUGACCAUGUUGUCACAUUAAUCACCGAAAUCACAAACAAAUGGCCUAUUCGGAGCCAUGUUUGCUACAUUUAGGCUAUCCCCAAUGAGGAUUUCAUAAGAGUUUCUUUUAAUGAUGUGACACAUCAACAAUUUUGAUGAUAUGACAUGCUAAUAAUCAUGAAGAGAGAGAGGGAAGGAGUUUCAUCCUGAUUAAACUGUGUAUACAUUGUUUCCAAGACUAUGAAACCUGAUGAAACUAGCAUUAGGGAUUAGAUAGUUUUAUUUCAUCUCAUAACAUCCAAUCACAUACCUCGCAAUUAAACGUUAUGUCCAGCCUAUAAAAUCGUGAAAUGAAACUCUCCAUUGGGAGAUCUUGUGUCAUACAUCCACUCAAACAUCUUUUGAUGACAUACCACUCCUGAAAACCGUAAUAUGAAAUUCCCCACUGGGAAUAGCUAUGGUUGCUCUAGAGUCUAGACUCUAUUGAAGUCACUUCAACUUUUUCCCAACACACAACCCCUGCACAAGUUAUGAUACAACAUAAAAUCCAUUGGGAGCUUUUCGAUUCUAACACCAUUUCCUCUCUCAAACUUGCUGCAUUUUUUCCAAUACUAGGUAGUUUUGAAUGAGAGUGAUGAUGUCGAUGAAUUGAAGAGUAUCGGGAUGGAAAUUGUUAAAAGAUGUGACUGCUUGCCAUUAGCAGUUAAGGUCCUUGGAGGACUCUUGCGCCGCAAAAGUAGAACAAGAGAUGCCUGGACGGAUGUUAGUAGCCACGGCACUUGGUCGACAAUAGGAAUCCAUGAAGAUAUUAAUAAAGCGGUCUAUUUGAGUUAUGAAGACUUGCCUUCACACUUGAAGCAAUGUUUUGUGUAUUGUUCGCUAAUCCCUCAAGAUUACUUGAUUUCAAGUCGAGUAAUAGUCCAGAUUUGGAUUGCAGCAGGUCAUGUACACAACAAGAUGAGCUGUAAGGCACCAGAAACGUUGGGGGAAGAAUACUACAAAGAAUUGGUUUCAAGAAAUCUUCUAGAACCAGAGAAAGGUUACUAUAGAAUAUCAGCAUGGAACAUGCACGACGUUGUCCGUUCCUUCGCUCAGUAUAUAAUUAAAGAUGAAGGGAUACUUAUUAGUGAUGGGCAGGAUGUCAAUAGAACUCUUAGCACUGCAAAGCUUCGGCACCUAUCUAUCUCAAACAAGGCAGUAAGGCAUGACACUUUGCAAACACAAGCCUUGCUUAGAACAUUAAUGUUAUUCGAAGGCAGCACCACUGUUGAGCUAAAGGAUAUGUUGAACAACCUUUCUUGCCUAAGAGUACUACAUCUGAUAGAUGUAGAUCUAGUUGAGCUGCCAGACUCCAUAUGCCACCUCAAACAUUUAAGAUCCUUGUAUCUUUCUGGCACAAGCAUAUCCACAAUUCCUCAAGGCAUAGGAGAUCUAAAAUUUCUACAAUCUAUUGACCUUGAUGGGUGUGCAAAUAUUCAUCAACUUCCUAACAGCAUCCUAAAGCUGCGGAAGCUAAGGUCACUCACCUUGAGCGACACGGCAAUCACUUCAGUUCCUCGUGGCUUGGGAAAACUAGAAGAUUUGGUCGACAUAAGGGGGUUUCCAACACAU
Molecule: long non-coding RNA, 15144 nt
Filed under: Setaria italica (foxtail millet)
Lineage: Eukaryota; Viridiplantae; Streptophyta; Magnoliopsida; Poales; Poaceae
Description: long non-coding RNA (SITA_LNC006541)
Source: RNAcentral